This 465-nucleotide ribosomal RNA is filed under the name uncultured bacterium. Its description in RNAcentral is "partial 16S ribosomal RNA". It matches the Rfam family "Bacterial small subunit ribosomal RNA", at positions 28 to 507 of the family's 1533-position model. The record is from RNAcentral.
GACGAACGCUGGCGGCGUGCUUAACACAUGCAAGUCGAACGGAAAGGCCCUGCUUGCAGGGUACUCGAGUGGCGAACGGGUGAGUAACACGUGGGUGAUCUGCCCUGCACUUCGGGAUAAGCCUGGGAAACUGGGUCUAAUACCGGAUAGGAGCCAUUUUUAGUGUGAUGGUUGGAAAGUUUUUUCGGUGUAGGAUGAGCUCGCGGCCUGUCAGCUUGUUGGUGGGGUAAUGGCCUACCAAGGCGGCGACGGGUAGCCGGCCUGAGAGGGUGGACGGCCACAUUGGGACUGAGAUACGGCCCAGACUCCUACGGGAGGCAGCAGUGGGGAAUAUUGCACAAUGGGCGCCAGCCUGAUGCAGCGACGCCGCGUGGGGGAUGACGGCCUUCGGGUUGUAAACUCCUUUCGCUAGGGACGAAGCUUUUUGUGACGGUACCUAGAGAAGAAGCACCGGCUAACUACGUG